UUUGGGAGAGAUUAAAAAAGUAACAAGGUUUCCGUAGGUGAACCUGCGGAAGGAUCAUUACAGUAUUCUUUUGCCAGCGCUUAACUGCGCGGCGAAAAACCUUACACACAGUGUCUUUUUGAUACAGAACUCUUGCUUUGGUUUGGCCUAGAGAUAGGUUGGGCCAGAGGUUUAACAAAACACAAUUUAAUUAUUUUUACAGUUAGUCAAAUUUUGAAUUAAUCUUCAAAACUUUCAACAACGGAUCUCUUGGUUCUCGCAUCGAUGAAGAACGCAGCGAAAUGCGAUAAGUAAUAUGAAUUGCAGAUUUUCGUGAAUCAUCGAAUCUUUGAACGCACAUUGCGCCCUCUGGUAUUCCAGAGGGCAUGCCUGUUUGAGCGUCAUUUCUCUCUCAAACCCCCGGGUUUGGUAUUGAGUGAUACUCUUAGUCGGACUAGGCGUUUGCUUGAAAAGUAUUGGCAUGGGUAGUACUAGAUAGUGCUGUCGACCUCUCAAUGUAUUAGGUUUAUCCAACUCGUUGAAUGGUGUGGCGGGAUAUUUCUGGUAUUGUUGGCCCGGCCUUACAACAACCAAACAAGUUUGACCUCAAAUCAGGUAGGAAUACCCGCUGAACUUAAGCAUAUCAAAACCGCGGGAGAAAUA
This 642-nucleotide ribosomal RNA is filed under the name Meyerozyma guilliermondii. Its description in RNAcentral is "eukaryotic LSU rRNA". The stretch from base 230 to 383 matches the Rfam family "5.8S ribosomal RNA". The record is from RNAcentral. Lineage: Eukaryota; Fungi; Ascomycota; Pichiomycetes; Serinales; Debaryomycetaceae.